Molecule: ribosomal RNA, 398 nt
Filed under: uncultured bacterium
Lineage: Bacteria
Description: partial 16S ribosomal RNA
Rfam family: Bacterial small subunit ribosomal RNA
Source: RNAcentral
AUAUUGCGCAAUGGGGGGAACCCUGACGCAGCAACGCCGCGUGAGUGAAGAAGGCCUUCGGGUCGUAAAACUCUGUCAUUAGGGAAGAAUAAAGUGACGGUACCUAAUGAGGAAGCCCCGGCUAACUACGUGCCAGCAGCCGCGGUAAUACGAAGGGGGUUAGCGUUGUUCGGAAUUACUGGGCGUAAAGCGCACGUAGGCGGAUUAUUAAGUCAGGGGUGAAAUCCCGCAGCUCAACUGCGGAACUGCCUUUGAUACUGGUAAUCUAGAGACCGAGAGAGGUAAGUGGAACUCCUAGUGUAGAGGUGGAAUUCGUAGAUAUUAGGAAGAACACCAGUGGCGAAGGCGGCUUACUGGCUCGGAACUGACGCUGAGGUGCGAAAGCGUGGGGAGCAAAC